GAUGAACGCUAGCUACAGGCUUAACACAUGCAAGUCGAGGGGUAGCAGGAUCUAGCAAUAGAUUGCUGACGACCGGCGCACGGGUGAGUAACACGUAUCCAAUCUACCUUUUACUCGGGGAUAGCCUUUCGAAAGAAAGAUUAAUACCCGAUGGCAUGUAAUAAUCGCAUGAUUAUUACAUUAAAGAAUUUCGGUAAAAGAUGAGGAUGCGUUCCAUUAGAUUGUUGGUAAGGUAACGGCUUACCAAGUCUUCGAUGGAUAGGGGUUCUGAGAGGAAGGUCCCCCACACUGGAACUGAGACACGGUCCAGACUCCUACGGGAGGCAGCAGUGAGGAAUAUUGGUCAAUGGGCGUAAGCCUGAACCAGCCAAGUAGCGUGAGGGAUGACUGCCCUAUGGGUUGUAAACCUCUUUUAUAGGGGAAUAAAAAGAGGUACGUGUACUUUAUUGUAUGUACCCUAUGAAUAAGCAUCGGCUAACUCCGUGCCAGCCGCCGCCGUAAAAC
RNAcentral lists this ribosomal RNA (504 nucleotides) under uncultured bacterium. Its description in RNAcentral is "bacterial SSU rRNA". It matches the Rfam family "Bacterial small subunit ribosomal RNA", at positions 28 to 526 of the family's 1533-position model. The record is from RNAcentral.